Zingiber officinale is the source of this 328-nucleotide long non-coding RNA. RefSeq lists it as uncharacterized. The transcript is spliced from 3 exons. Lineage: Eukaryota; Viridiplantae; Streptophyta; Magnoliopsida; Zingiberales; Zingiberaceae. The record is from RefSeq and is a predicted model, not a curated record.
GAAAGCUCACCAAUUUAGGUAUCCUGACCUUGCACAAAUGGCUAGAGAUAUCUUGAGUGUUCCAAUUUCUACAGUUGCUUCUGAAUCAGCUUUUAGCACUGGUGGUAGGAUACUUGACCAAUAUCGCAGUGCAAUGAAGCCUGAUGUUGUUGAGGCAUUAGUUUGUUGUAGAGAUUGGUUAGCUGGAGGGAAAGAAACUACUGAGGUGGGGUUGAAUGAUUUGACUGAAAAUAUUAUGAAUUUAUUCACAAAUGAGGAUACUGGAUCAAAACCUACUACAACACAUGAUUGAUGAUUCUAAUGAAAAGUUUGACUCAGUACAAAGGAG